CGUCCCCAAGUCAGGCGUGAAUACCCGCUGAGUUUAAGCAUAUCAUUAAGCGGAGGAAAAGAAACUUACCAGGAUUCCCCUAGUAAUGGUGAGUGAACUAGGAAGAGUCCAGCAUGAAAAUCGAUGACUUCGCCUGCCGAAUUGUAGUUUGUAGAAGCGUCCUCAGCAACGGACCGGGCCCAAGUCCCCUGGAAGGGGGCGCCAGAGAGGGUGAGAACCCCGUCAGGCCCGGACCCUAUCGCACCACGAGGCACUGUUAGUGAGUUGGGUUGUUUGGGAAUGCAGCCCUAAUCGGAUGGUAAAUUCCAUCCAACACUAAAUAAGGGCGAGAGACCGAUACCGAACAAGUACCACAAGGGAAAGAUGAAAAGGACUUUCAAAAGAGAGUUAAAGAGUGCUUGAAAUUGCCGGGAGGGAAGCAGAUGGAGGUCGGCAAUGCACCCCGGUCAGAUGCGGAAUGGCAUCAGCCGGUCCGCCGCUCAGCUCGGGGGGCAUGCCAGCGCGGGCCGUUUCUGUGGCACAAGCACGGCCUUCUAGUCACACUAUACCUCCAUUGCGGUGGUCGAGGAAUGUAGUGUGCGCCUACCAGGGCGGGCCCUCGGGCACCUGCACGCUCAUGGCGCUAGCCAGAGGGCUUUCCAUCCAACCCAUCUUGAAACAUGGACCAAGGAGUCUAACAUGUGUGUGAGUUGGCGGGUUGGGAAACCCGCAAGGCCCAAGGAAGCUGACUGGCGAGUUCCCCUCUUAGGAGGUGCACCGCCGACCGACCCUGAUCUUAUUUGAAGGGUUCGAGUGCGAGAUCACCUGUUGGGACCCAAAAGAUGGUAAACUAUGUAUGAGUAGGGCGAAGCCAGAGGAAACUCUAGUGGAGGCCCGUAGUGAUACUGAUGUACAAAUCGUUCAUCUGACUUGGGUAUAGGGGUGAAAGACUAAUCAAACCAUCUAGUAGCUGGUUUCCUCUAAAGUUUCCCUUAGGAUAGCUAGAGCUCAUGUGCGAGUUUUAUCGGGUAAAGAAAAAGAUUAGAGGCAUCAGGGGCAUAAUGCCCUCGACCUAUUCUCAAACUUUAAAUAGGUAAGGCGACGCAACUGCUCUGUUGAGCCGCGCCAUGGAAUCGUGAGCUCCAAGUGGGCCAUUUUUGGUAAGCAGAACUGGUGAUGUGGGAUAAAUCGAAAGCCGAGUUACGGUGCCAAAUUGCGCGCUAACCCAUAUCCCACAAAGGGUGUUGGUUGAUUAAGAUAGUAGGACGGUGGUCAUGGAAGUCAAAAUCCACUAAGGAGUGUGUAACAACUCACCUGUCGAAUCAACUAGCCCCAAAAAUGGAUGGCACUGAAGCAAGCAAACCUAUACUCGACCGUUAGGGCAAGUGCUAGGCUUCGAUGAGUAGGAGGAUGCAGGGGUUGUUGCGAACCCUUGGGCGUGAGCUUGGGUGGACCGGCCCCUGGUGUAGAUCUUUGUGGUAGUAGCAAAUAUUCAAAUGAGAACUUUGAAGACUGAAGUGGGGAAAGGUUCCAUGUGAACAGGACUUGGACAUGGGUUAGUUGAUCCUACGAGAUGGGGAAGCCCUGUUUCAAGGGCGCACUUUGCGCGAUCAUCGAAAGGGAAUCGGGUUAAUAUUCCUGAACUGGGACAUGGCGGCAGAUGACAACGUUAGGAAAUCCAGAGACGUCAACGGGGGCCUCGGGAAGAGUUAUCUUUUCUUUUUAAUAGCCUGCCCACCUUGAAAUCAGUUCAACUGGAGAUAGGGUCCAGCAGCUGGAAGAGCACCGCAUGUCCUGCGGUGUUUGGUACGCCUUCAAUGGCCCUUGAAAAUCUGGAGGACCGAGUACCAUUCAUGCUGGGUCAUACUCAUAACCGCAUCAGGUCUCCAAGGUGAACAACCUCUGGUCAAUAGAACAAUGUAGGUAAGGGAAGUUGUCAAAAUGGAUCCGUAACUUCGGGAAAAGGAUUGGCUCUAAGGACUAGGCCUAGGGGUCUACACUCCGAACUCGUGGGUUGUUGGCGGCCUGCUCGAGCCACUACCAGGGUGAGAGUGGGUCGUCGCGUGUCGAUCGGGCGACGGACACAGAGCGCUCCCUUCGGGGGGCUUUCCCUAGGUGGCGAACAACUGACUUAGAACUAGUACGGACAAGGGGAAUCUGACUAUUUAAUUAAAACAAAGCAUUGCAAUGGUCCCUGGGGAUGCUGACGCAAUGUGAUUUCUGCCCAAUGCUCUGAAUGUCAAAGUGAAGAAAUUCAACCAAGUGCGGGUAAAUGGCAGGAGUAACUAUGACUCUCUUAAGGUAGCCAAAUGCCUUGUCAUCUAAUUAGUGAAGCACAUGAAUGGAUUAACGAGAUUCCCACUAUCCCUAUCUACUAUCUAGUGAAACCAUAGCCAAGGGAACGGGCUUGGCGGAAUCAACGGGGAAAGAAGACCCUAUUGAGCUUGACUCUAGUCCAACUUUGUGAAAUGACUUGAGAGGUGUAGAAUAAGUGGGAGUCAUUUUGGCACAAGUGAAAUACCACUACUUUUAACGUUAUUUUACUUAUUUUGUGAGACGAAGAUGGGGAAAUGCCCCUAUUUUUGGCCUUAAGGUGCAUCUAGGCACGUUGAUCUAGGCGAAAGACAUUGUCAGGUGGGGAGUUUGGCUGGGGUGGCACAUCUGUUAAAAGAUAAUGAAGGUGUCCUAAGAUGUGCUCAACGAGAAUAGAAAUCUUGUGUGGAACAAAAGGGUAAAAGCUCAUUUGAUUUUGAUUUUCAGUAUGAAUACAAACCGUGAAAGCGUGGCCUAUCAAUCCUUUAGACUUUCAAAAUUUGAAGCUAGACGUGUCAGAAAAGUUACCACAGGGAUAACUGGCUUGUGGCAGCCAAGCGUUCAUAGCAACGUUGCUUUUUGAUCCUUCGAUGUUGGCUCUUCCUAUCAUUGUGAAGCAGAAUUCACCAAGUGUUGGAUUGUUCACCCACCAAUAGGGAAUGUGAGCUGGGUUUAGACCGUCGUGAGACAGGUUAGUUUUACCCUACUGAUGAUCCGUGCCGCGAUAGUAAUUCAACUUAGUAUGAGAGGAACUGUUGAUUCACACAUUUGGUCAUCACGCUUGGUUGAAAAGUCAGUGGUGCGAAGCUACCGUGUGUCGGAUUAUGACUGAAUGCCUCUAAGUCAGAAUCCACGCUAGAUGCGGUCUAUCUCUCUCUCCGGAUGCAUCGCGACCCGCAGUAGGGGUGCUCUUGCACACCUAGGGGCCCGUGUCAUUGGCUACCUUCGAUCGGUGCAACCGCCUGGUCGGAGUAAACCUUGGAUAACAAUUUCAAGCUAUCGGUGAGAAGAAUCUUUUGCAGAUGACUUAAAUAAGCGAUGGGGUAUUGUAAGUGGCAGAGUAGCCUUGCUGCCACAAUCCACUGAGAUUCAACCCUUUGUUGCCUCGAUUCAU
Ribosomal RNA from Cryptomeria japonica (Japanese cedar), 3406 nucleotides. The record is from RefSeq and is a predicted model, not a curated record. NCBI's taxonomy places the organism in Eukaryota, Viridiplantae, Streptophyta, Pinopsida, Cupressales, Cupressaceae.